This 296-nucleotide unclassified non-coding RNA is filed under the name uncultured Cortinarius. RNAcentral describes it as "sequence contains ITS2". The stretch from base 1 to 52 matches the Rfam family "5.8S ribosomal RNA", at positions 103 to 154 of the family's 154-position model. The record is from RNAcentral. Lineage: Eukaryota; Fungi; Basidiomycota; Agaricomycetes; Agaricales; Cortinariaceae.
AACGCACCUUGCGCUCCUUGGUAUUCCGAGGAGCAUGCCUGUUUGAGUGUCAUUAAUAUAUCAAUCUCUUCAGCUUUUGCUUGUUGAGUAUUGGAUGUGGGGGCCUUUUUUGCUGGUCUUUUAAAAGAGGUCAGCUCCCCUAAAAUGUAUUAGCGGAACAAUUUGUUGACCGUUCAUUAGUGUGAUAAUUAUCUACGCUAUUGACGUGAGGCAGUUCAGCUUCUAACAGUCCAUUAACUUGGACAGUUUUUCAUUAAUGUGACCUCAAAUCAGGUAGGACUACCCGCUGAACUUAA